GAUGAACGCUGGCGGCGUGCCUAAUACAUGCAAGUCGAGCGAACAGAUGAGGAGCUUGCUCCUCUGACGUUAGCGGCGGACGGGUGAGUAACACGUGGAUAACCUACCUAUAAGACUGGGAUAACUUCGGGAAACCGGAGCUAAUACCGGAUAAUAUAUUGAACCGCAUGGUUCAAUAGUGAAAGACGGUUUUGCUGUCACUUAUAGAUGGAUCCGCGCCGCAUUAGCUAGUUGGGAAGGUAACGGCUUACCAAGGCAACUAUGCGUAGCCGACCUGAGAGGGUGAUCGGCCACACUGGAACUGAGACACGGUCCAGACUCCUACGGGAGGCAGCAGUAGGGAAUCUUCCGCAAUGGGCGAAAGCCUGACGGAGCAACGCCGCGUGAGUGAUGAAGGUCUUCGGAUCGUAAAACUCUGUUAUUAGGGAAGAACAAAUGUGUAAGUAACUAUGCACGUCUUGACGGUACCUAAUCAGAAAGCCACGGCUAACUACGUG
This 497-nucleotide ribosomal RNA is filed under the name uncultured bacterium. Its description in RNAcentral is "partial 16S ribosomal RNA". It matches the Rfam family "Bacterial small subunit ribosomal RNA", at positions 28 to 507 of the family's 1533-position model. The record is from RNAcentral.